Molecule: long non-coding RNA, 436 nt
Filed under: Delphinapterus leucas (beluga whale)
Lineage: Eukaryota; Metazoa; Chordata; Mammalia; Artiodactyla; Monodontidae
Description: lncRNA (ENSDLEG00000021696.1)
Source: RNAcentral
CAAGUUACUAAAUCUAUCUGAGACUCAAUUUCUUCUUCUGUAAGGUACAUAUCCACCUUAAAACGUUGCUGUGAGGAUCAGAUGAGCUAACAAGGAACGAGAAAGCACUUCGCUGUGCCCACUGAAAGUGGGCAGAGUGAAUAUAUGCAUGUGUUAGAGUGGGUGAAGAGCAGCCUUCAAGAGAGAGAGUUCCAGCUGCCCUCACUGUGCCCUCCCCCAGCUCUGUGCUGCACCAGGAUCUCCCAGAAGGCAGCCACACCGCUCUCACUGCCUUCUCGCAGCUGUUACCUCCAGCCCUGCAGAACAGGUUACAAUAUAUGAACUUUCAACUGAUCACACACAAUGCAUAUCUCAAGGGGGCUGUAAAUUCAUCUGCAGCCGACUAGAGGACACCUCAUAUGCUCUGGUGUUGAGACCAGGAGGGAUCUCUGACUGA